Xenopus tropicalis (tropical clawed frog) is the source of this 1412-nucleotide long non-coding RNA. RefSeq lists it as uncharacterized. The transcript is spliced from 2 exons. The record is from RefSeq and is a predicted model, not a curated record. NCBI's taxonomy places the organism in Eukaryota, Metazoa, Chordata, Amphibia, Anura, Pipidae.
UCUCCUGUUUUCUGAUUCCUUUCUCCUCCUGUCCAUCAAAGCUCAGGUAUCCUGAGCUGCAAGGAUCUAAACAGCUUAGGUCCCGGUACAGCUUGGAGAAAUCCGAUUGGCUGGAUGAUGAACUUUGAACCUCCCUUCAGCCAAUACCUGCAUGGUUAUACCGGGACAAAACCAGCAGCAUGGAAGGCUGCAGCCAUUUUACUGCAGGAGUGUGCAAUCAAAGGGAAGGAGCAAAACUGUUAUGGGUUAGAGAAGAGAUGAAAAAUGGCAGUUAAAGUGAGGAGAGAGGAAUUGGGAUCAGGAGGAAAGAAGAGCUUUAGUGAAUAAGAUACAGAAAAGCAGAGAAUAUGGAGCAACGGAAUAGACUACGACAAUCAUAUUAUACUUUCAAAAAAAUGGCACAAGACGAAAAUAGAAAACGUCACAGAAGUGCUCGCAUCCAAACCAGAAAGAAGAAGAACUCUGAUUACAGAAUUGCAUUCCUGCCGCAAAAUAUCCAGCAGCAGAAAACUCCUACUUCAGGGCCUUCUUUCUUGAGAAGCACAAAAACCAAAACUUAUUUUUUUCAUAGCCAUUGUGCUAAUCUGCCUUGCAAAAUGGCAGAAAAACAAUUCCAGCUGCGUGGAGGAGAUGGCACUCAUGGAUAUAUUGAAUGACCUUCAUAGGCAUCUUCAGGACACUAUACUUGGUAUGGAGAAUAUCCAUGAGAUUAGCUGAACUAAAAGAUCAGAUAUCAACAUUAGUGGUUUCGCUCGAUCCUUUGGACUUAGCCAAUAUAACAAAGAGGGUAUUUAUUUGAAUUUAGAAACUUAUAUGUUAGCAUUUCUAGGCAUUAGAGCCUGUAUGUUUCAAGACUGACCAGUCAGACAUAAUUUUCAUUUCUUUUUUGGUUGUUCAACAUUGAAAAAUAAAUAUUUUUUUGGUAAAAACUAUAAUAAACUAAUAAUAUAAUAUAUAAUGAUAAUAAUAUAAUAUAAACUAAUAAAAAAACUAUAAUAAUAUAAACUAUAAAAAACUAAUAAUAUUUAUGCAGGAUAUGUGGCUGAUUAAUCUACUUAUUCUGUUCAUAGCCAUUGUGCUAAUGUGUUCUGUAACCUGCUGGGAGGAGGCACUGGAGCAAGGAAGGAAGGUGAUAGUUGAACUUAAGAAUGCCCGUGAGAUUAUGGCCCAAUUAAGGGAAGAAUUAAAUGAGAUAAAAGCGCAGAUAUCUCAUGGAGUGAAAAAUAAGGGACACUUGCUAGCGGUUACUUUUCAAUUAUUAAUGUUUUCCCUGGAUCCUUUUGGUAACUAGUACUGUAACAAGUGACUGGGAGUACAACCUGCACAUUUAGCAACCUUUAUGUUUGGGCUUUCUUACUUUCUUUGGUUGUUCAUCUAUGUUGAAAAAUAAAUAUUUUUUUUGGUUAAAACUU